AGUGAACGCUGGCGGUAGGCCUAACACAUGCAAGUCGAACGGCAGCACAGUAAGAGCUUGCUCUUACGGGUGGCGAGUGGCGGACGGGUGAGGAAUACAUCGGAAUCUACUUUUUCGUGGGGGAUAACGUAGGGAAACUUACGCUAAUACCGCAUACGACCUACGGGUGAAAGCAGGGGAUCUUCGGACCUUGCGCGAUUGAAUGAGCCGAUGUCGGAUUAGCUAGUUGGCGGGGUAAAGGCCCACCAAGGCGACGAUCCGUAGCUGGUCUGAGAGGAUGAUCAGCCACACUGGAACUGAGACACGGUCCAGACUCCUACGGGAGACAGCAGUACGGAAUAUUGGACAAUGGGCGCAAGCCUGAUCCAUCCAUACCGCGUGGGUGAAGAAGGCCUUCGGGUUGUAAAGCCCUUUUGUUGGGAAAGAAAAGCAGCAGGUUAAUACCCCGCUGUUCUGACGGUACCCAAAGAAUAAGCACCGGCUAACUUCGUG
This 492-nucleotide ribosomal RNA is filed under the name uncultured bacterium. RNAcentral describes it as "partial 16S ribosomal RNA". It matches the Rfam family "Bacterial small subunit ribosomal RNA", at positions 29 to 507 of the family's 1533-position model. The record is from RNAcentral.